RNAcentral lists this transfer RNA (80 nucleotides) under Nippostrongylus brasiliensis. It matches the Rfam family "tRNA". From Rfam's summary of the family: Transfer RNA (tRNA) molecules are approximately 80 nucleotides in length. Their secondary structure includes four short double-helical elements and three loops (D, anti-codon, and T loops). The record is from Rfam by way of RNAcentral. Lineage: Eukaryota; Metazoa; Nematoda; Chromadorea; Rhabditida; Heligmosomidae.
GCCGCCAUAGCUCACAAUCAGUCGGUUAGAGCGUGGAUCUAAUAAGCCCAAGGUCCCAGGUUCGACCCCUGCUGGCGGCA